UGCCAUUUAUUUCCUCUGAAGCUCCCGGCCCAGAAUGAAUUUCCUCUGGGACAUGCAGGCAGGGAAGCACGCCGAGAGUUUCGUAGAUUGAAGCCAUUUCCUUGCUGCUUCUCUGCUUAGAGGCUGCACUCUGGCAAGAGUCGAAGCCAGAUUAAAAACUGACACUUCUUGAAAUAAAAAGCUGUCAUUCUUUGCACCCAGGACUCAUCCGUUAGCUGAACCCGCAGCGCAGUAGCUCACAUUGGGGUGUUUUCAGCCCUGUAAGGGGUCAUCUCUCGAGGCCAGGUAACCAGUACGAUCUCUGCUAGCUGUUGCUGGGUCUCAGUAUUCGCCGCGCGAGAUCAGGCAAAGAUGCUGUGAAGGGAGAGCUUUGCCAUGAAGGGCAGGAGUGGGGCAAGGCUGUGAGGCCGUUUGAAGGACUUAGACUAGCUCUGUCAGAAAUUGUAGGCACGAUUUUGGGUGAAACAUGGGUGAAAUGGCUUCAGGAUCCUUAUUGCUGACACUUCUGUGGGAAAUCGAGGCAUGGAGCAAUUCAGCAGCUUCUCCAAGCUGUGCUGCUCUGCUGCUGGAAGCACGGCCGCAGACCUCCCACCCCAGACAACUCCAAGGCUUGCUGACCUCUCUGUGUCCGUGCAGCCAUGAGAAAACCGAUGCUCAAGGAUUACAUUGCCGCCUCCUCGGAGCACGUGCAGCUUUUAGCAGUGCGUUACUCCCAUCCCCGCCCGAGAUCUGGUGCCAUCUGGAGCAGUGCUGGUAUGGAAACUGGAAGAAAGUUGGUGCUAACCCCUCAGAGAUGCAACAUUACGAAGCGUUCAUUUCCCAGAUCAUUAGAAACUCGGAAUAGCCAUCUGGCCAGAACCAGAGAUGCAUACGCCUGCGUCUGCAGCCUACCAGCAUUCAGCUGUGCGGGUCCCUGUUCCGUAGCGUUUGGGACUGGGAGCUGAAGAUGUUGCUUUGCUUCUCGGAGAAGUCUCUUUGGUCUUUCUACGGUUUAUCUGCAAUUCAAAACUGAGCUGAGUUUUUAGGAGGCAUCUAUCUGACAACAGGCAUUUAAGCCAGGAACAUAAUAUGUUUCCUAUGCCUCCAAAUAGCCUCCAGUGCUGUGAAACCACAAGAUCCUAUCUCUUCCAUGCGUUGUUCCCAUGAAUAUUUUCACUGUUAAAAAAAUACAUUUUCACUGUUUAAAAAAGUACAUUUUCACUGUUAAAAAAAAAGUACAUUUCAGUCUCCAUUUGUCUGGUCUCAGCAUCGGUCAGGAGGAUAUCACUGGGUCUUAAAUCCCAGCAUCGGGGGGUCCACAGGGUCUUGAAUUUUCAAAAUUUGUCCUAAAGCCUGAUAAGAACAGCCUUUCACACGCUGCCUGGGUAAGUUAACGCCAGUAAGAGCUGGAAGGUCUGAAAAGAAGGGCUUUAUGCUGCUGGCUUAGUUACAUUUGUCUUUCUCACCUAUGGCUUGCUUGCAGUAGAUCUGUGCAUCUGCUACAGACACAGCAUUCUCAUCCUGUUAGUCCUUUCUCUUGGCUGGUGAUGUACAGCAGAAAAUGGGACCUGAGGGGCUCAUUCACUCCUGCUCCUGGUCCGAGCUCCCCUCUCUGUACCAGAAGGAUAAUAAGAUUUGUACACCUCAAAGCUCGUGCACAUCUUAGAUCUGUGCUCCAGUAUUUUUAGCCCUAAGCUGUGCGUGGUCUCCAACUGUAAACAAACAGAGAUACAUAGAGCAGAUCAUUUACACUUUCUAGGAGAGGCCUGAAUGUAAUAUGACAGCAACGACUUCCUUCUCCUAAUAGCAUUUUGAGUUCAUUACGGUGACUGUGCAGCGCGAGCUCAUAUCCUGGAGGGGUGCCGCUGGAAGGAGGAGCAGGGGGAAAGCAUCUGGUUUUAUUCUGGCUUCUGUUUUGCCCAGCAAAUAUAAUGGCACAUGACCGCUGAGCCGACAGUAAUCCGGUUACAAAAGUCUUCAGAGUUACUGCACCAACCAAAUUAAACUCGAUUACAGCCAAUUAUGCUGAAAAGCCAGACAACAGCUCUUAGCUUGGGGUGAAGUAACUUCUUGCGAUCGCAUGCGGGGAGGCCUCGCGGGGUGUCAGGAGGAUAAUUGCUCGUUUGCUCUACCACAGAGCACCAUCUGCUCUGGAAGUAAUGCCGAAGGAUGUCAGAGGAUACCAGGCUCGGGUAAACAGGCAGGGGAGCCGGGCAAAGACUUCUCCCUGCUCCUUUUAUUGUGAUUUGUUUUACAGUUGCUUGCCCUGGUCCCGGCUGCGGUCAAAGCAUCCCAGAAGGAUGGACCAGGCAUGAAGAACUUCUGUCUGAGCCCAGAUUUUGGAAGAAUUUCAGUUGUGUUUUGUCCCAGCUCAGCUCCCUGCGAAAUUAUUUCAAACGGUCUGGUUUAGUGUGGGAAGCAGGACUGGGCUUUAGCUUGGAUCCUGGCUCCCAAGCAGCAAAACCCGUGUCAUUAUCUUAAAAUGCAAGGACUGGAAGCGUCCCCUGGCUGCAUCCAGACAAAAAUUCAGCACCAAAGAGGAGCCCCAGCCCCUCUGGGCAGCCUGUUAAAUCCCAUCCCAUUGUUUUCCCAUCACUGCAGGACCAUCAAUUUCCAGGCUGUGCGUGCAUCUCCAGCACUGCUGCCCCCCGAGUCGUCUCUUUCCCUUUUUUGAGUCUCUGCAAAGGCAUCAGAGCUCUGGUGCCCCUGUCUUUGCCAGAACACCACGGUGAAGAUGCUUCAAACUGCCUCGUUAGCUGAUCAGCGCAUCCUGUGCUAAUAUUCCCCCUGCUCAGGGAAAGCAGCCAGAGCUGCUGGAGCUGCUGUCUAUCGACAAAGGCAAGGACUGGCUUGGGGUUUGGCUUCACCCGCUGGCUGUUCUGGGGGGCUCGCCGUGCCCUUUUACGCAGGGUAGAAAGCUUGAAAAGGCUCCAAUCCUUCUUGAAAGAGAAGAAUGUUUUUUAUUUUUUUCCCUAACCUUGACAAAUUUGGAUGACAUGAAAGGCACCGCUGCCAGCCAGCCCUGCUGCAGGAGCUGUGUGGUGAAGAUAAAGUCAGGUCGCGGCGUGGAGCUGCAUCUCAAGAGCCCGAGCGUGCGCUCGGAAUGGCAAAGCAGGCGUGCAGCACCCGGCAGCACGGCGCAUUUUCAGAGCCUCUUUCCCCGCAGCCUCUUUCAGUUUAUUUUAACCCCCGAGUAGGGCAUUUCCUAGGGAUCAGAGCCUGGCUGGGGUAAGUAGCCCAAAGCAUUCCGCCAGCUGGGCCCCUAAUCCCCAGGAAAUGCCCCGUCGUCUCCAUCCUGCCUCCCCAGCAAGCCGCUGCGAGGUUGGACGCGCUCUUCUUGCAGCUUUUCCUUGGGCCAGCAGAUGGCACAGCUCGGUUAAAGAAACCGGGAGGCGGCAGGGGACGCGGUGGGCACUGCGGUUCGCCAGAAGUUGGGGUUUUUUCACACGUGGAUCUCAGUUUCAGCCGAGAACGGGGAAGGCUGGUGAAGGCUGUGAUUAAAAUCCCCCUCCCCGGAGGUUUCUGCAGGAGGAAGGGCAGCUCCUUCCCAGGCAUCCCAGCACACCAAACGCGGGAUUUGUCUCAGAACCCCAUAGGAACGUGAUUUCUUACACCCACCUCUCAAUUCCUCCCUUUUUUUUUGGUUUGCUCUGACUCCGGUUUGCUCCAGAGCAAAUACUGCGUCGGGGGCAAGAUUUGUAUUCCUGGCAAAAUGCUUUCAGUGGCACCGGUGCUAUAGCACGACAUGCAUUGGGUCACGAGGAAUCUGGCCGCCUGAUGCCAGGUUUUACUCGCUGGCCCCGCUCUGAGCGCUGCCGUGGCGGGGUUUAGGCGUGCACGUUCAGGCAGAGCACCUUUGUUGCGAGCGAUUUUUCUGCACGGAGCUUCUGUCUCACAGCCGAGCUGGCAGCGUGCUUACAGGUGCACAAAUCGCAACCCGUUUCCCAUCCAAAAGCCUGCUGGGGAGCUGCGUGCGGCAGGCUUUUAGGGUAGGCAUCAGCAGAGGCGUGAAAAAAAGAAUUCCUGGGGAUGCUUCGUGUUUUGGACACCAGUCAAAUAUGAUCGGGUGAUAUAAGCAAGUCAGGAGCUGGGCACCAGGACAUGGGAUGAGUAGAGAGAAAGGAGAGGACAGGGAGCAGGGUCAUAUCCCCAAGGCUGUGCAGAAUAACUCAUACCAAUUCACCCCGAUGCUCAUUAAGGAGCAUCGCUUUAAAGAGCCAUGGCCCCAGUGAAGCAUUUUGGCCCUGCGUGGGGAAAGUUGUUAACAUAAAAAUGCAGACGGGGUUCUCCGCAACUGGUUUUCAAAUUGAUACCACUUUGCAUCUGUGUCAGUGCGAGCAAAUUCCUAGCCCGUGAAUCAUUAAUGGGCAGCGCAGAGUGGCUUUGCACGAUACCUGCCUAUUAAUCACGAUUGUCCGCUCUCAAUUAGGUCUCUGUAAACUCCCGGGGGGUCUCCAGCCUCCCUGGAGGAGUGCUGGGUUUUGGGAAGGUUUCUGAAGGUGGGAUCAGAGCACGGGGUCACCCCAUUUACCCCGUGGAUGGCUCCUGCACACGGAGUGAGGCACAGCUGGGGUGUGCGGGCACAGCUGGCACCUGCAGGAAUGGGAUCAAGGAAAAGGUCUGAAACUCCUCUUUUUUUUCUUUUAACCUGGCAAAAAAAAUAAAAAUAAAAAUGAAGCCUACA
This 4663-nucleotide long non-coding RNA is filed under the name Anas platyrhynchos platyrhynchos (common mallard). RNAcentral's name for it is "lncRNA (ENSAPLG00000028578.1)". Lineage: Eukaryota; Metazoa; Chordata; Aves; Anseriformes; Anatidae. The record is from RNAcentral.